RNAcentral lists this ribosomal RNA (319 nucleotides) under uncultured bacterium. Its description in RNAcentral is "bacterial SSU rRNA". It matches the Rfam family "Bacterial small subunit ribosomal RNA", at positions 28 to 346 of the family's 1533-position model. The record is from RNAcentral.
GAUGAACGCUAGCGGCAGGCCUAAUACAUGCAAGUCGAACGAGAUUGUAGAGCUUGCUUUGCAAUCUAGUGGCGCACGGGUGCGUAACGCGUAUGCAACCUACCUUUAUCAGGGGGAUAGCCUCUCGAAAGAGAGAUUAACACCGCAUAAUAUUAUUGAAUGGCAUCAUUUGAUAAUCAAAUAUUUAUAGGAUAAAGAUGGGCAUGCGUGACAUUAGCUAGUUGGUAAGGUAACGGCUUACCAAGGCUACGAUGUCUAGGGGAUCUGAGAGGAUGACCCCCCANACUGGUACUGAGACACGGACCAGACUCCUACGGGA